Molecule: ribosomal RNA, 372 nt
Filed under: uncultured bacterium
Lineage: Bacteria
Description: bacterial SSU rRNA
Rfam family: Bacterial small subunit ribosomal RNA
Source: RNAcentral
UACGGAGGGUGCAAGCGUUAUCCGGAUUCACUGGGUUUAAAGGGUGCGUAGGUGGGUUGGUAAGUCAGUGGUGAAAUCCCGGAGCUUAACUUCGGAACUGCCUUUGAUACUACCAAUCUUGAAUACUGUGGAGGUAAGCGGAAUAUAUCAUGUAGCGGUGAAAUGCUUAGAUAUGAUAUAGAACACCGAUAGCGAAGGCAGCUUACUACGCAGUUAUUGACACUGAGGCACGAAAGCGUGGGGAUCAAACAGGAUUAGAUACCCUGGUAGUCCACGCCCUAAACUAUGGAUACUCGACAUCAGCGAUACACAGUUGGUGUCUGAGCGAAAGCAUUAAGUAUCCCACCUGGGAAGUACGUCCGCAAGGAUGAA